RNAcentral lists this ribosomal RNA (457 nucleotides) under uncultured bacterium. RNAcentral describes it as "bacterial SSU rRNA". It matches the Rfam family "Bacterial small subunit ribosomal RNA", at positions 338 to 795 of the family's 1533-position model. The record is from RNAcentral.
CCUANGGGCGGCAGCAGUCGAGAAUAUUCCACAAUGGGCGAAAGCCUGAUGGAGCGACGCCGCGUGCAGGAAGAAGGCCUUCGGGUUGUAAACUGCUUUUCUACAGGAAGAAUUCCGCCUUGUGCGGUAUGACUGUACUGUAGGAAUAAGAGGUUGCUAACUCUGUGCCAGCAGCAGCGGUAAUACAGAGACCUCAAGCGUUAUCCGGAUUUAUUGGGCGUAAAGGGCGCGUAGGAGGUCAGGAACGUCUUGUGUCAAAUACCGAGGCUUAACUUCGGAAUCGCGCGAGAUACGGCCUGACUUAUGAGGAUACCAGAGGCAAGCGGAACGAACGGUGUAGGGGUGAAAUCCGUUGAUAUCGUGCGGAACACCAGAGGCGAAGGCGGCUUGCUGGGGUAUUCCUGACUCUGAGGCGCGAAAGCGUGGGGAGCAAAAAGGAUUAGAUACCCCANUANUC